This 22-nucleotide ribosomal RNA is filed under the name Howardula aoronymphium. RNAcentral describes it as "partial 5.8S ribosomal RNA". RNAcentral also lists the same sequence under 4 other names. Lineage: Eukaryota; Metazoa; Nematoda; Chromadorea; Rhabditida; Allantonematidae. The record is from RNAcentral.
GCAGCCUUACCGGUGGAUCACU